GUUUUUUUUAAUCCCAUUCAUCUCGGUUAUCUACAGGUUCUCAUAAAAAGCAGCUGUGAGCGAAGAGGUUUUGGAAGAGUUCGAUAAGGUGAUUUUGUGAGCCUGAGCCAGCAAGCCAGUGAGAAUCAAACAUUAACGGCACGGGUUUCCUGAACUCAAGAACAAUAGCUGUAAUCUACAUGUCUGGGAUCCAGCAGUUUAAGAGACAAGUUUCCUUCUUCAGUAAUGCCUUCCGAGGACAU
RNAcentral lists this long non-coding RNA (242 nucleotides) under Lepisosteus oculatus (spotted gar). RNAcentral's name for it is "lncRNA (ENSLOCG00000022289.1)". The record is from RNAcentral. Lineage: Eukaryota; Metazoa; Chordata; Actinopteri; Semionotiformes; Lepisosteidae.